Molecule: ribosomal RNA, 302 nt
Filed under: uncultured bacterium
Lineage: Bacteria
Description: partial 16S ribosomal RNA
Rfam family: Bacterial small subunit ribosomal RNA
Source: RNAcentral
GCAGCCGCCGCGGUAAUACGUAGGGGGCAAGCGUUAUCCGGAAUUAUUGGGCGUAAAGAGUGCGUAGGUGGUCUACUAAGCGCGAGGUGAAAGGCAAUGGCUCAACCAUUGUUAGCCUUGCGAACUGGCAGACUUGAGUGCAAGAGAGGAAAGCGGAAUUCCUAGUGUAGCGGUGAAAUGCGCAGAUAUUAGGAGGAACACCGGCGGCGAAGGCGGCUUUCUGGAUUGUAACUGACACUGAGGCACGAAAGCGUGGGUAGCAAACAGGAUUAGAUACCCGGGUAGUCCCUGUCUCUUAUACA